AGUGAACGCUGGCGGUAGGCCUAACACAUGCAAGUCGAACGGCAGCACAGUAAGAGCUUGCUCUUACGGGUGGCGAGUGGCGGACGGGUGAGGAAUACAUCGGAAUCUACUUUUUCGUGGGGGAUAACGUAGGGAAACUUACGCUAAUACCGCAUACGACCUACGGGUGAAAGGAGGGGAUCUUCGGACCUUGCGCGAUUGAAUGAGCCGAUGUCGGAUUAGCUAGUUGGCGGGGUAAAGGCCCACCAAGGCGACGAUCCGUAGCUGGUCUGAGAGGAUGAUCGGCCACACUGGAACUGAGACACGGUCCAGAGUCCUACGGGAGGCAGCAGUGGGGAAUAUUGGACAAUGGGCGCAAGCCUGAUCCAGUCAUACCGCGUGGGUGAAGAAGGCCUUCGGGUUGUAAAGCCCUUUUGUUGGGAAAGAAAAGCAGCAGGUUAAUACCCCGCUGUUCUGACGGUACCCAAAGAAUAAGCACCGGCUAACUUCGUG
Molecule: ribosomal RNA, 492 nt
Filed under: uncultured bacterium
Lineage: Bacteria
Description: partial 16S ribosomal RNA
Rfam family: Bacterial small subunit ribosomal RNA
Source: RNAcentral